Non-coding RNA from Drosophila melanogaster (fruit fly), 601 nucleotides. The record is from Ensembl. NCBI's taxonomy places the organism in Eukaryota, Metazoa, Arthropoda, Insecta, Diptera, Drosophilidae.
ACUUACCAACUUGUGGGACUUCUCAUUGACAUGCGUCGUUCACAACAUCAUGCUGCUAAGGAGAACGAUCCACGUUGCCCAAUUGCUGGACAGGAGUCCGAACUAAUUGGCCCAGGACCUCCUUUUUGUUGCUCCGCAGUUGCCCAGCAUUCUAAGCGGUGCUCCGGGAUGGAAAGGAGCCACAUCCGAGCAGGUGUUGCAACGUGGUUGAGUAAUUUUGGCAUAGUUCCGUGGCUUCGAACUCGACAGACAGCCACGGGAGAUGGCAGAACUUUCCGGAGUACUCCGAUGUUCGCACAGUUGUCAUGGCAUUAUCACGGCCAUUAGGCAUCAGCCACUGAUGCGAGUGUGCACCACCCAUCUGCAGUUCGAAAUUGGUUGCAACUUUUGGACAUAUUAGAGGCAAAGCGGCGGGGCGCCACUGAAAGUUGCGUUCGCUGGGAUGGGAAGUUAGGGGACUCGUGGGUUUUAUUCUGUACACGUUGAGUGGUUUCAAAUUGUGGAUUUAUCUGUAAUUUACAAAGUUAUCAACAAUAGUUAAGUAGUUCGUAUUGUGCAGCAAUGGGUCUUUUAAUUGUCGUUGCAAGCUACGAGUGGCACG